This is a microRNA precursor of Oryza rufipogon (brownbeard rice), 206 nucleotides long. It matches the Rfam family "MIR812 microRNA precursor family". The record is from Rfam. Lineage: Eukaryota; Viridiplantae; Streptophyta; Magnoliopsida; Poales; Poaceae.
GAAAAGACAAACCAUGGGUUUGCGUGUCUAACUUUGACUGUCCGUCUUAUAUGAAAUUUUUUUAUAAUUCGUAUUUUCAUUGUUGUUAGAUGAUAAAACAUGAUUAAUAUUUUAUGCGUGACUUGUCUUUUUAAUUUUUUUCAUAAUUUUUUCAAAUAAGACGAACGGUCAAACGUUAGACACGGAAACCAAGGUUUGUCUUUUUU